CUACAGAGGGUGCGAGCGUUAAUCGGAAUUACUGGGCGUAAAGCGCGCGUAGGCGGCUUUGCAAGUCGGGUGUGUAAAAUCCCCAGGCUUAACCUGGGAACUGCAUUUCGAGACUGCAUUGCUAGAGUAUGGGAGAGGGAAGUGGAAUUUCCGGUGUAAGCGGUGAAAUGCGUAGAUAUCUGGAGGAACACCGGUGGCGAAAGCGCGAGACUGGGCCGUAACUGACGCUGAGGAACGAA
Molecule: ribosomal RNA, 239 nt
Filed under: uncultured bacterium
Lineage: Bacteria
Description: partial 16S ribosomal RNA
Rfam family: Bacterial small subunit ribosomal RNA
Source: RNAcentral